RNAcentral lists this long non-coding RNA (300 nucleotides) under Androctonus crassicauda. Lineage: Eukaryota; Metazoa; Arthropoda; Arachnida; Scorpiones; Buthidae. The record is from RNAcentral.
AUCAUGCAUGUGCUUGGUGGGGUUGAUGUGAAUUAUGUGACUGGAGUCGUGAAAGCAACUUCCUGAGAAAAAGGGGGAAAUAUGUUUAUUGUUCUAACCAAAAGGGUGAGAGAAGACUGGGACAAAAGAAAAAGCAGUUGGUUCCAGAUCGUCGAAGCUUUUGGAGGUGAUUCAGACGUGCUCGCUUACUACAAUAAGUCGGGCUCUGAUCGUCGAAAGAAAGUUGAUAUAAUAUCCCCGAGAAACAAGAUACCUUUCGUCUCGAUCGUCGGGCAGACACAGCAGAAAUUAUGACGAUUG